AUUCCACUGGGAGUACGACGCAGGUGAAACUCAAAGGAAUGACGGGGCCCGCCCAGCAGUGGAUUAUGUGGUUUAAUCGAAGCAACGCGAAGAACCUACCUGGGCUGACAUCCAACUAACGAAGCAGAGAUGCAUCAGGUGCCUUCGGGGAAAGUGAGACAGGUGGUGCAUGGUGUCGUCAGCUCGUGUCGUGAGAUGUUGGGUUAAGUCCCGCAACGAGCGCAACCGUUAUUGCUAGUUGCUACGCAAGAGCACUCUAGCGAGACUGCCGUUGACAAAACGGAGGAAGGUGGGGACGACGUCAAAUCAUCAUGCCCUUAUGUCCAGGGCUACACACGUAAUACAAUGGCGUUCAACAAAGGGAAGCAAAGCCGCAAGGCGGAGCAAAUCCCCAAAAGGCGUCCCAGUUCGGAUCGUGGGCUGCAACCCGCCCACGUGAAGUCGGAAUUGCUAGUAAUCGCAGGUCAGCAUACUGCGGUGAAUACGUUCCCGGGCCUUGUACACACCGCCCGUCACACCACGAAAGUUGGUAACACCCGAAGCCGGUGGGGUAACCGUAAGGAGCCAGCCGUCUAAGGUGGGGCCGAGAUGGGGUGAAGUCGAUUGGAAGGUAACCUA
RNAcentral lists this ribosomal RNA (618 nucleotides) under uncultured rumen bacterium. Its description in RNAcentral is "bacterial SSU rRNA". It matches the Rfam family "Bacterial small subunit ribosomal RNA", at positions 874 to 1503 of the family's 1533-position model. The record is from RNAcentral.